UCGCACCUACCGAUUGAAUGGUUCGGUGAAACUUUCGGACCGUGAUUUGAAUGCCUUCGGGCAAUCAGGUUGUGGGAAGUUAUUUAAACCUCAUCAUUUAGAGGAAGGUGAAGUCGUAACAAGGUUUCCGUAGGUGAACCUGCAGAAGGAUCA
This 153-nucleotide ribosomal RNA is filed under the name uncultured eukaryote. RNAcentral's name for it is "partial small subunit ribosomal RNA". It matches the Rfam family "Eukaryotic small subunit ribosomal RNA", at positions 1676 to 1828 of the family's 1831-position model. The record is from RNAcentral.